RNAcentral lists this ribosomal RNA (484 nucleotides) under uncultured bacterium. Its description in RNAcentral is "partial 16S ribosomal RNA". It matches the Rfam family "Bacterial small subunit ribosomal RNA", at positions 30 to 507 of the family's 1533-position model. The record is from RNAcentral.
AUUGAACGCUGGCGGCAGGCCUAACACAUGCAAGUCGAGCGGAUGAAGGGAGCUUGCUCCUGGAUUCAGCGGCGGACGGGUGAGUAAUGCCUAGGAAUCUGCCUGGUAGUGGGGGAUAACGUCCGGAAACGGGCGCUAAUACCGCAUACGUCCUGAGGGAGAAAGGGGGGGAUCUUCGAACCUCACGCUAUCAGAUGACCCUAGGUCGGAUUAGCUAGUUGGUGGGGUAAAGGCCUACCAAGGCGACGAUCCGUAACUGGUCUGAGAGGAUGAUCAGUCACACUGGAACUGAGACACGGUCCAGACUCCUACGGGAGGCAGCAGUGGGGAAUAUUGGACAAUGGGCGAAAGCCUGAUCCAGCCAUGCCGCGUGUGUGAAGAAGGUCUUCGGAUUGUAAAGCACUUUAAGUUGGGAGGAAGGGCAGUAAGUUAAUACCUUGCUGUUUUGACGUUACCAACAGAAUAAGCACCGGCUAACUUCGUG